CAUAUCAAUAAGCGGAGGAAAAGAAACCAACAGGGAUUGCCCCAGUAACGGCGAGUGAAGCGGCAACAGCUCAAAUUUGAAAUCUGGCCCCCGGGUCCGAGUUGUAAUUUGCAGAGGAUGCUUUGGGCGAGGUUCCUUCCGAGUUCCCUGGAACGGGACGCCACAGAGGGUGAGAGCCCCGUCUGGUCGGACACCGAGCCCGUGUAAAGCUCCUUCGACGAGUCGAGUAGUUUGGGAAUGCUGCUCAAAAUGGGAGGUAUAUGUCUUCUAAAGCUAAAUAUUGGCCAGAGACCGAUAGCGCACAAGUAGAGUGAUCGAAAGAUGAAAAGCACUUUGAAAAGAGGGUUAAAAAGUACGUGAAAUUGUUGAAAGGGAAGCGCCUAUGACCAGACUUGCGCCCGGUGAAUCAUCCAGCGUUCUCGCUGGUGCACUUUGCCGGGCACAGGCCAGCAUCAGUUUGGCGCGGGGGAUAAAGGCUUCGGGAAUGUGGCUCCCUCGGGAGUGUUAUAGCCCGCUGCGCAAUACCCUGCACCGGACUGAGGUACGCGCAUCGCAAGGAUGCUGGCGUAAUGGUCAUCAGCGACCCGUCUUGAAACACGGACCAAGGAGUCGUCUUCGUAUGCGAGUGUUCGGGUGUUAAACCCCUACGCGGAAUGAAAGUGAACGUAGGUGAGAGCUUCGGCGCAUCAUCGACCGAUCCUGAUGUUCUCGGAUGGAUUUGAGUAAGAGCAUACGGGGCCGGACCCGAAAGAAGGUGAACUAUGCCUGUAUAGGGUGAAGCCAGAGGAAACUCUGGUGGAGGCUCGCAGCGGUUCUGACGUGCGAAUCGAUCGUCAAAUAUGGGCAUGGGGGCGAAAGACUAAUCGAACCUUCUAGUAGCUGGUUC
This 886-nucleotide ribosomal RNA is filed under the name Cordyceps spegazzinii. RNAcentral's name for it is "partial large subunit ribosomal RNA". It matches the Rfam family "Eukaryotic large subunit ribosomal RNA", at positions 39 to 957 of the family's 3401-position model. Lineage: Eukaryota; Fungi; Ascomycota; Sordariomycetes; Hypocreales; Cordycipitaceae. The record is from RNAcentral. RNAcentral also lists the same sequence under 1 other name.